UCCAUGCAAGUUCAAUUUUUGCCAGAGUUGCUAGUCCGGCUCUGGCUGUUUGCAGUAGGAUCUCUACCAUAAUAAAGUAGAUUAAUAGAACGAAAGUCAGUGAUUCUUGCAAUUGCAAAUUCGCUUGCAGUUCCUACGAUUGGUUUGGCCAAUGCCCACGCAUUCUGCUAUGCCUUGGAAAAUUGGUUUUAUGAUCCAAGGGAGAAGAAGUGAGAGCUUGAGGUCCACAAAUUUCCUGAAUUUGAAGGAACACAGGA
RNAcentral lists this unclassified non-coding RNA (257 nucleotides) under Hevea brasiliensis (rubber tree). Lineage: Eukaryota; Viridiplantae; Streptophyta; Magnoliopsida; Malpighiales; Euphorbiaceae. The record is from RNAcentral.